CAGACUGCCAGAGUCUUGCUUUGUUGACCAGGCUGGAGUGCAGUGGCAUGAUCCUGGCUCACUGCAACAUCUGCCUCCCAGGCUUAAGAAAUUCUCAUGCCUCAACCUCCUGAAUAGCUGGGAUCACAGGGUCUCGCUCUGUCACCCAUACUGGAGUUCAGUGGCAUGAUCUUGGCUUACUGCAACCUCCACCUCCUGGGCUCAAGUGAUCCUCCCACCUCAGCCUCCCAAGUAGCUGGAACCCUGGAACCACAGCCAGGUUUGCCCUCCAAUCAGUGGCCUGCCUUCAUUUUCCAGAUUGAUGAAGUCUGCCUCAGAGAAGGGGGUAGGUAACAAGACUGUGCCGAUGUGUCUAAUCAGCUGGAAAAGUUGUAAAAUGAAUCUUUCCUAUCUGGAAUUUAUAUUUAAUCAUAGUUAUGUUCUUUUUGUGAAUGUGUGUUGAUUAGUUAGUUGUCAGAAUAGGAAAACAAGAAGAGCUUUUAUUUAUACAGAUAAGUUAUGCUGGAGUAAUUAUUCAGGUCUGAUUGAGUUGAUGGAGAUUUUUACAUUACCUCAGCACACAGAGCCACUUAAUCUUAUUCAUAAUGUUAAUUAAAUACUCCAGGAGUUACUACCAUGCUCUCAUUUAUGGUGUUUACUAUUCAGGUUUGUUUAUAUAUGUGAUGACUUGUGGACCCCUCUUUUUCACUGGACCAUGCCCUUUUACAGUUGUAAAAUGCACCUCCACUCAUAGAAACUGAUCUUCAGCAGUUUAUUCACAGUGUUCCUGAUCCUAUCUAACUUGGGGAAGGAAACUCUCUUUGGUUUCAGAAUUGGUUAAGAUUAUGUCAUUGAACUGACUUUUAAUAGAUUUUUUUUUUUUUUUGGCUUAUGCCUA
RNAcentral lists this long non-coding RNA (877 nucleotides) under Callithrix jacchus (white-tufted-ear marmoset). RNAcentral's name for it is "lncRNA (ENSCJAG00000077572.1)". The record is from RNAcentral. Lineage: Eukaryota; Metazoa; Chordata; Mammalia; Primates; Cebidae.